This 228-nucleotide unclassified non-coding RNA is filed under the name uncultured fungus. RNAcentral describes it as "sequence contains ITS1". Lineage: Eukaryota; Fungi. The record is from RNAcentral.
UUGAGCUAUUUAUAUUAUAUCUCAGACGACAGGUUGAUUUAAAGUUUUUAAGGUUUGGCUUUUGACAGGUACUCACAGGAUUUAGCGGCCGAAGCCACCAAACUUUGCGGGGACCAAAGGAUCCACGACCUGCCAAAGCAACAAAGGUUUAUAAGCACGGGUUGGGAGGUUCGGGCCACAAGGACCCUAUACUCUUUAAUGAUCCCUCCGCAGGUUCACCUACGGAGA